RNAcentral lists this non-coding RNA (29 nucleotides) under Mus musculus (house mouse). Lineage: Eukaryota; Metazoa; Chordata; Mammalia; Rodentia; Muridae. The record is from RNAcentral.
UGGACAAUUUAUUUUGUGACAAUAUUGGA